GCGCCCAUGGCGAAUUUACAGGUAUGGUCCCCCCGGGUAUAUUCCAGUUCAUCCAUGCGAUUAUGUGUGUCAUUUUUAAAGCCAUAUCUCAUUCUGUGACUUGAUUUGUGUCCAUCCGCAUUGGCCAAAUGCAUAAUGCUGACGAUCUUCAUGACCUGUUUUAUUGUUGUUGCUUCCGAGGCAAUAUUCCCCCUCUCUUAAUUCUAUCUCAAUUUCUAUGGCUGAGUCUGUAAUUUUUAAGAUCCAUGUGCCUGGCGAUACUGCACAGUAUUUAGGUGACCUUACAUGGAUUUUUUAAAUUUGAAACUGAGGGCAAAAUGCCUCAAGGAUGGGAAUUUGGGUGCCAUUACAUUUAUUUUUAGCUUUAAGAGCAGGAAAAUGCCUCUUGGAUAGGCAUUUAGGUGCGUUUACUCCAAUUUUUUCCUUGACAAGUGGGAAUAUGCCACAAGGAUACAAAUUUACAUGCCGGCAUAUUGAUUUUUAGCCUGAAAAGUGAUGAAAAUGCAUCAAGGAAAUGCAUUUAGCUUCUCUUACAUGAUUUUUAUCUUGAAAAGAUGUGACAUUUUCAUCAAGGAUGGCCACUUAGGUUCCCUUACAUAAUUUUUUUAUCCUGAACAGUGGGUUAAAUGCCUCAAGGAUAGGCAUUUACAUGCCCUUGCCAGAAUUGUUAACUUGAAUAGAGAGCAAAAUGCCUCAAGAAUAGCCUGUGGCUUUACCAUGAUUUUUAUCUUGAAAAGUAGGCAAAACACUACAAGGAUGGGCAUUUAGGCACCCUUAUUUGAAUUUUUAGCCUGAAAAGUGGAAUAAUGCUUUAAGGAUAGGCAUUUGUGUGUGGGUUUUUUUUUUUUGGUUUGGUUUGGCUACUAAUGUUCAGUACUUCAAUACAAUAAGUUGUUUCUAUAAUGCUUGAGAUGUAUUAAUACUUUAUCUAUGUUUGGAUGUAAUAUGCUCAUUCAAAGUGAAACAAUUAUUUAGAGUGUAGGCUCGAGAGGAGGUCCACAAUGCUUCACCGGGGAGUUUACAUAGGUCCAUGAUCAAAGCUGCCCAACAGGUGCAGGUGCAGGUCACAAUCCUGCCUUCCCUACCCAAAAUUCUGGUGAAGUUUGCUAAGCCCACACAUGGGUAGAGCCUUCUGCAACAACAUACAGCCAUAUGUACCAAUAUAACAUAAGGCCAUGACUGUCCAACAGGUUUGAGGCACCUAUGGAUCUAAAGAAAGAGCGGGAAAGAUUAAUAUUUGAACAAAACUAUGGGGAAGCAUUCACUUCAGCCCAUGAAUUGUUGGAUGUUUAUUUGGUUUUUAAAUAAUGCAGAUUUUGCUUAGUUUUUCAAAGUUUAUAAUUGAGAGGAUGAGCAUGUGCUCUUGAAGAAGCUAUUCGUUGGGGUACUGAUUAUCUUCUCAAAGCUACUGCUCAUCAAAACACCAUAUAUGUGCAGUUGGGAGUUUUGUCUAUGGCGGCACAAAAACAAAGAGCAAAUUUGGGACUGGACCUGAGUCAGCAAUAGAAUCUGAACAUCCGACAGGUUAGGGGAGUUGAGACUGUUACUCUUGGAGAUGAUGAAGCCCGUGCUAGAGGUUGUCAGAAAAGCAUUCUUGAGAGAAGCUCCUACAACCUUCCAUUUUUUGAUUGAAAUGAGGGAAAAGAAAUAUUGGGUCAC
Long non-coding RNA from Magnolia sinica, 1659 nucleotides. RefSeq lists it as uncharacterized. NCBI's taxonomy places the organism in Eukaryota, Viridiplantae, Streptophyta, Magnoliopsida, Magnoliales, Magnoliaceae. The transcript has 6 exons. The record is from RefSeq and is a predicted model, not a curated record.